Molecule: ribosomal RNA, 475 nt
Filed under: uncultured bacterium
Lineage: Bacteria
Description: partial 16S ribosomal RNA
Rfam family: Bacterial small subunit ribosomal RNA
Source: RNAcentral
UGGGGAAUUUUGGGACAAUGGGCGAAAGCCUGAUCCAGCAAUGCCGCGUGUGUGAAGAAGGCCUUCGGGUUGUAAAGCACUUUUGUCCGGAAAGAAAUCCUUGGCUCUAAUACAGUCGGGGGAUGACGGUACCGGAAGAAUAAGCACCGGCUAACUACGUGCCAGCAGCCGCGGUAAUACGUAGGGUGCAAGCGUUAAUCGGAAUUACUGGGCGUAAAGCGUGCGCAGGCGGUUUGCUAAGACCGAUGUGAAAUCCCCGGGCUCAACCUGGGAACUGCAUUGGUGACUGGCAGGCUAGAGUAUGGCAGAGGGGGGUAGAAUUCCACGUGUAGCAGUGAAAUGCGUAGAGAUGUGAGGAUACCGAUGGCGAAGGCAGCCCCCUGGGCCAAUACUGACGCUCAUGCACGAAAGCGUGGGGAGCAAAGCAGGAUUAGAUACCCUGGUAGUCCACGCCCUAAACGAUGUCAACUAGUUG